GGGAAACUGCCCGAUGGAGGGGGAUAACUACUGGAAACGGUAGCUAAUACCGCAUAACGUCGCAAGACCAAAGUGGGGGACCUUCGGGCCUCACACCAUCGGAUGUGCCCAGGUGGGAUUAGCUAGUAGGUGGGGUAAUGGCUCACCUAGGCGACGAUCCCUAGCUGGUCUGAGAGGAUGACCAGCCACACUGGAACUGAGACACGGUCCAGACUCCUACGGGAGGCAGCAGUGGGGAAUAUUGCACAAUGGGCGCAAGCCUGAUGCAGCCAUGCCGCGUGUAUGAAGAAGGCCUUCGGGUUGUAAAGUACUUUCAGCGGGGAGGAAGGCGGUGAAGUUAAUAGCUUCACCGAUUGACGUUACCCGCAGAAGAAGCACCGGCUAACUCCGUGCCAGCAGCCGCGGUAAUACGGAGGGUGCAAGCGUUAAUCGGAAUUACUGGGCGUAAAGCGCACGCAGGCGGUCUGUCAAGUCGGAUGUGAAAUCCCCGGGCUUAACCUGGGAACUGCAUUCGAAACUGGCAGGCUAGAGUCUUGUAGAGGGGGGUAGAAUUCCAGGU
Molecule: ribosomal RNA, 559 nt
Filed under: uncultured bacterium
Lineage: Bacteria
Description: bacterial SSU rRNA
Rfam family: Bacterial small subunit ribosomal RNA
Source: RNAcentral